Molecule: ribosomal RNA, 435 nt
Filed under: Aeromonas veronii
Lineage: Bacteria; Pseudomonadati; Pseudomonadota; Gammaproteobacteria; Aeromonadales; Aeromonadaceae
Description: bacterial SSU rRNA
Rfam family: Bacterial small subunit ribosomal RNA
Source: RNAcentral
UGCAAGUCGAGCGGCAGCGGGAAAGUAGCUUGCUACUUUUGCCGGCGAGCGGCGGACGGGUGAGUAAUGCCUGGGGAUCUGCCCAGUCGAGGGGGAUAACUACUGGAAACGGUAGCUAAUACCGCAUACGCCCUACGGGGGAAAGCAGGGGACCUUCGGGCCUUGCGCGAUUGGAUGAACCCAGGUGGGAUUAGCUAGUUGGUGAGGUAAUGGCUCACCAAGGCGACGAUCCCUAGCUGGUCUGAGAGGAUGAUCAGCCACACUGGAACUGAGACACGGUCCAGACUCCUACGGGAGGCAGCAGUGGGGAAUAUUGCACAAUGGGGGAAACCCUGAUGCAGCCAUGCCGCGUGUGUGAAGAAGGCCUUCGGGUUGUAAAGCACUUUCAGCGAGGAGGAAAGGUCAGUACCCAACAUCUGCUGGCUGUGACGUUAC